This 225-nucleotide long non-coding RNA is filed under the name Felis catus (domestic cat). RNAcentral describes it as "lncRNA (ENSFCAG00000052127.1)". The record is from RNAcentral. Lineage: Eukaryota; Metazoa; Chordata; Mammalia; Carnivora; Felidae.
GUACUACCUGGAGAGGUAGGGUUCACACAAACUUCACUUCAGGAAAGCUUUUGUUUUGUUUUGUUUUUUUACAGGAAAGCAUUAGGAUUUGAAAUGAAUGUCCCCAAAGAACAUUUGUCAAAGAAUGUGAAGUGUUUUUAUAUAUUUGAAAGCAGAAUAGAUCAAAGCUGCUGGGGAAUCGAAGAGAGGCCUUUUUGCUUCUCCAUGUCCUGGUCUCACUUCUAA